Molecule: transfer RNA, 71 nt
Filed under: Rhinophrynus dorsalis (Mexican burrowing toad)
Lineage: Eukaryota; Metazoa; Chordata; Amphibia; Anura; Rhinophrynidae
Description: tRNA-Ser
Rfam family: tRNA
About the family: Transfer RNA (tRNA) molecules are approximately 80 nucleotides in length. Their secondary structure includes four short double-helical elements and three loops (D, anti-codon, and T loops). Further hydrogen bonds mediate the characteristic L-shaped molecular structure. tRNAs have two regions of fundamental functional importance: the anti-codon, which is responsible for specific mRNA codon recognition, and the 3' end, to which the tRNAs corresponding amino acid is attached (by aminoacyl-tRNA synthetases). tRNAs cope with the degeneracy of the genetic code in two manners: having more than one tRNA (with a specific anti-codon) for a particular amino acid; and 'wobble' base-pairing, i.e. permitting non-standard base-pairing at the 3rd anti-codon position.
Source: RNAcentral
AAGAAAAUGGCAGAGAGGUUAUGCGUCUGACUUGAAAUCAGAGUACGGGGGUUCAAUUCCCUCUUUUCUCG